RNAcentral lists this non-coding RNA (99 nucleotides) under Pseudomonas tolaasii NCPPB 2192. The record is from RNAcentral. Lineage: Bacteria; Pseudomonadati; Pseudomonadota; Gammaproteobacteria; Pseudomonadales; Pseudomonadaceae.
UUAAAUGUGGGAGCUGGCUUGCCUGCGAUAGCGCAGUGGCAGCCAAAGAAUGGCUGACUGAUACACCGCCAUCGCAGGCAAGCCAGCUCCCACACUUAA